AGGGCAAGUCUGGUGCCAGCAGCCGCGGUAAUUCCAGCUCCAAUAGCGUAUAUUAAAGUUGUUGCAGUUAAAAAGCUCGUAGUUGAAUUUCGGGGUUCUACCGUUGGUCGGGCUUUGUCUGUACUGGCGUGUAGAAUUUCUACCUUCUGGGGAACCAUUAUGUUAUUAAUUUAGCGUAGUGGGAAACCAGGACCUUUACCUUGAAAAAAUUAGAGUGUUCAAAGCAGGCUUAUGUCUGAAUACAUUAGCAUGGAAUAAUAGAAUAGGACGGUGGUCCUGUUUUGUUGGUUUCUGAAUCACCGUAAUGAUUAAUAGGGAUAGUUGGGGACAUUAGUAUUCAAUUGUCAGAGGUGAAAUUCUUGGAUUUAUUGAAGACUAACUUCUGCGAAAGCAUUUGCCAAGGAUGUUUUCAUUAAUCAAGAACGAAAGUUAGGGGAUCGAAGACGAUCAGAUACCGUCGUAGUCUUAACCAUAAACUAUGCCGACUAGGGAUCGGACGAUGUUAAUUUUUCUUGACUCGUUCGGCGCCUUACGGGAA
Molecule: ribosomal RNA, 538 nt
Filed under: uncultured Glomeromycotina
Lineage: Eukaryota; Fungi; Glomeromycota
Description: SSU rRNA
Rfam family: Eukaryotic small subunit ribosomal RNA
Source: RNAcentral